This 93-nucleotide small RNA is filed under the name Lactobacillus apis. RNAcentral describes it as "Lacto-usp RNA". It matches the Rfam family "Lacto-usp RNA". Lineage: Bacteria; Bacillati; Bacillota; Bacilli; Lactobacillales; Lactobacillaceae. The record is from Rfam by way of RNAcentral.
GGUCAAACAUAAGACAUGCGAGAUUGUAAAUAACUUUUGAAUCGGAAUACUAUUAUUUAGUUAAUAGGAUCCAUAUUCAUUGCGAUACGUCUC